RNAcentral lists this ribosomal RNA (501 nucleotides) under uncultured bacterium. Its description in RNAcentral is "partial 16S ribosomal RNA". It matches the Rfam family "Bacterial small subunit ribosomal RNA", at positions 30 to 523 of the family's 1533-position model. The record is from RNAcentral.
AUUGAACGCUGGCGGCAGGCUUAACACAUGCAAGUCGAGCGGAGUGAUGGUGCUUGCACUAUCACUUAGCGGCGGACGGGUGAGUAAUGCUUAGGAAUCUGCCCAUUAGUGGGGGACAACAUCUCGAAAGGGAUGCUAAUACCGCAUACGUCCUACGGGAGAAAGCAGGGGAUCACUUGUGACCUUGUGCUAAUAGAUGAGCCUAAGUCGGAUUAGCUAGUUGGUGGGGUAAGGCCUACCAAGGCGACGAUCUGUAGCGGGUCUGAGAGGAUGAUCCGCCACACUGGGACUGGGACACGGCCCAGACUACUACGGGAGGCAGCAGUGGGGAAUAUUGACAAUGGGGGGAACCCUGAUCCAGCCAUGCCGCGUGUGUGAAGAAGGCCUUAUGGUUGUAAAGCACUUUAAGCGAGGAGGAGGCUCUUUUGGUUAAUACCCAAGAUGAGUGGACGUUACUCGCAGAAUAAGCACCGGCUAACUCUGUGCCAGCCGCCGCAGUAA